This 857-nucleotide ribosomal RNA is filed under the name Pyricularia grisea. Its description in RNAcentral is "LSU rRNA". It matches the Rfam family "Eukaryotic large subunit ribosomal RNA", at positions 74 to 960 of the family's 3401-position model. Lineage: Eukaryota; Fungi; Ascomycota; Sordariomycetes; Magnaporthales; Pyriculariaceae. The record is from RNAcentral.
AUUGCCCCAGUAACGGCGAGUGAAGCGGCAACAGCUCAAAUUUGAAAUCUGGCCCCCCGGCCCGAGUUGUAAUUUGCAGAGGAUGCUUUUGGUGAGGCACCUACCGAGUCCCCUGGAAUGGGGCGCCAUAGAGGGUGAGAGCCCCGUAUGGUAGGACGCCGAACCUCUGUAAAGCUCCUUCGACGAGUCGAGUAGUUUGGGAAUGCUGCUCUAAAUGGGAGGUAAAUUUCUUCUAAAGCUAAAUACCGGCCAGAGACCGAUAGCGCACAAGUAGAGUGAUCGAAAGAUGAAAAGCACUUUGAAAAGAGGGUUAAAAAGUACGUGAAAUUGUUGAAAGGGAAGCGCUUGUGACCAGACUUGCGCCGGGCGGAUCAUCCAGCGUUCUCGCUGGUGCACUCCGCCCGGUUCAGGCCAGCAUCGGUUUUCGCCGGGGGACAAAGGCUUCGGGAACGUGGCUCCUUUCGGGGAGUGUUAUAGCCCGUUGCGUAAUACCCCGGCGGGGACCGACGACCGCGCUUCGGCAAGGAUGCUGGCGUAAUGGUCAUCAGCGACCCGUCUUGAAACACGGACCGAGGAGUCAAGCAUUAGUGCGAGUGUUUGGGUGUAAAACCCGCACGCGUAAUGAAAGUGAACGUAGGUGAGAGCUUCGGCGCAUCAUCGACCGAUCCUGAUGUUUUCGGAAGGAUUUGAGUAGGAGCAUUAACGCUUGGACCCGAAAGAUGGUGAACUAUACUUGAAUAGGGUGAAGCCAGAGGAAACUCUGGUGGAGGCUCGCAGCGGUUCUGACGUGCAAAUCGAUCGUCAAAUUUGAGUAUAGGGGCGAAAGACUAAUCGAACCAUCUAGUAGCUGGUUCAGC